This 950-nucleotide ribosomal RNA is filed under the name Acinetobacter ursingii. Its description in RNAcentral is "bacterial SSU rRNA". It matches the Rfam family "Bacterial small subunit ribosomal RNA", at positions 56 to 1002 of the family's 1533-position model. The record is from RNAcentral. Lineage: Bacteria; Pseudomonadati; Pseudomonadota; Gammaproteobacteria; Moraxellales; Moraxellaceae.
UGCAGUCGAGCGGAGAGAGGUAGCUUGCUACUGAUCUUAGCGGCGGACGGGUGAGUAAUACUUAGGAAUCUGGCUAUUAGUGGGGGACAACAUUUCGAAAGGGAUGCUAAUACCGCAUACGUCCUACGGGAGAAAGCAGGGGAUCUUCGGACCUUGCGCUAAUAGAUGAGCCUAAGUCGGAUUAGCUAGUUGGUGGGGUAAAGGCCUACCAAGGCGACGAUCUGUAGCGGGUCUGAGAGGAUGAUCCGCCACACUGGGACUGAGACACGGCCCAGACUCCUACGGGAGGCAGCAGUGGGGAAUAUUGGACAAUGGGGGGAACCCUGAUCCAGCCAUGCCGCGUGUGUGAAGAAGGCCUUAUGGUUGUAAAGCACUUUAAGCGAGGAGGAGGGUACUGGUAUUAAUACUACCAGGUACUGGACGUUACUCGCAGAAUAAGCACCGGCUAACUCUGUGCCAGCAGCCGCGGUAAUACAGAGGGUGCGAGCGUUAAUCGGAUUUACUGGGCGUAAAGCGUGCGUAGGCGGCUAAUUGAGUCGGAUGUGAAAUCCCCGAGCUUAACUUGGGAAUUGCAUUCGAUACUGGUUAGCUAGAGUGUGGGAGAGGAUGGUAGAAUUCCAGGUGUAGCGGUGAAAUGCGUAGAGAUCUGGAGGAAUACCGAUGGCGAAGGCAGCCAUCUGGCCUAACACUGACGCUGAGGUACGAAAGCAUGGGGAGCAAACAGGAUUAGAUACCCUGGUAGUCCAUGCCGUAAACGAUGUCUACUAGCCGUUGGUCUCUUUGAGGGAUUAGUGGCGCAGCUAACGCGAUAAGUAGACCGCCUGGGGAGUACGGUCGCAAGACUAAAACUCAAAUGAAUUGACGGGGGCCCGCACAAGCGGUGGAGCAUGUGGUUUAAUUCGAUGCAACGCGAGAACCUUACCUGGUCUUGACAUAGUAAGAACUUUCCA